UUGUCACUAUCAAUCUAAAUUAUGCAAUUUAUUUACUUAGUAUCUUGAUCUGUAGAAAUCCCUAAAUUAUGCUAAUAUCUCUUUCAAGAGCAAGAGCAACUAAAUUUAGGUUGAGUUGUAGUGGGCCAAAUUUGCCCGGCCCAUUAACCUCAAACCAAAUAGUAAAAACCCAAUAAUUAAAUAAAUGUCCAUUUACAAAUCUGUCCUAAAUACAAUAAGCCCAAUGCCCAAAUACCAUAUACACCCAAAAAUAGGCCCAAUAAGCCCAAUGCCUACUAGAAACCCAAAAAAAUAAAUACAAAAUAAAGAAAAAAAACCAACAAUUAAUUAAAAUGUCCAGUGUUAUAAACAGUCCGGGGCCCAAAAACAUGCAAUGGUUCACAGCCCAUUAGUCAAUUAAAACCCAACACUAAUACCCUAGCCCAUUUAUCCAAAGUUACGAGGCCCAAAUGGCCUAAAAGACCUCAGCAACCCUAGGUCACCCCUCCCUCAUUUGCGUUGCAACCCCUGUAGCCUCCAGACGCCGUACAAUGCUUCCAGCAACCACGUCAAGCCUCCGUACGCUAGCUCGGCCCUCGUACACACACCACGCACCUGUACCUGCGAAAGGAAACAAAAAAAAACAGCAGCGAGAAUGGCAGCCAAUAGGAAAUUGAUUGAUUUUUUUUCUUUUGAUUACUUUUCGGCUAUAAAAGCCAAGCUUUUAAUCUUUGUAAAGGUUAUGAACGCAUAUUUCACGAAUACACAAUAGGCAAUACAAAAAAAGCAACCAAUAUCGGAAGGUGAUAUUUUUUAUCUAAAUCUCCGGGCUUUCUUUUUGUGGUUAUUCUCUUGCUUUGUAUUUUUUUAUUUUUUUUAUUUUAUUUCGAAAGCAAUAAAAGAAAAAGGGAAGACGAAGCCUUACCUUGCGAAAGUACCAGGGGUUCUAUCGACUUUGUUGAAAUCUGAGUUUAGAAAGGAUCCCACGGUCGAAAUAGUCGUCCGUUGAAGCCCGAGGCUGUUCGUCUCUGCUGAUAGACACUAAUCUUUGCUUAAGGGGGAGUGCUAGGGUCAAGAGAAAGGGAAGUAAAAUGGGGGCUAGGGUUCGACUAACUGAUUCAGCUUCAGCCCUUUUAAAGGACCAAAUACGACGCCAUUUCGAGCCUGUUCCAGUGGCUCAAAAACGACGUCGUUUGGUAAGAGACCCGACCCAAUCCGGUUUGCU
This 1204-nucleotide long non-coding RNA is filed under the name Gossypium barbadense (sea-island cotton). Its description in RNAcentral is "long non-coding RNA (GBAR_LNC005568)". The record is from RNAcentral. Lineage: Eukaryota; Viridiplantae; Streptophyta; Magnoliopsida; Malvales; Malvaceae.